RNAcentral lists this ribosomal RNA (491 nucleotides) under uncultured bacterium. RNAcentral describes it as "partial 16S ribosomal RNA". It matches the Rfam family "Bacterial small subunit ribosomal RNA", at positions 29 to 507 of the family's 1533-position model. The record is from RNAcentral.
GUGAACGCUGGCGGUAGGCCUAACACAUGCAAGUCGAACGGCAGCACAGUAAGAGCUUGCUCUUACGGGUGGCGAGUGGCGGACGGGUGAGGAAUACAUCGGAAUCUACUUUUUCGUGGGGGAUAACGUAGGGAAACUUACGCUAAUACCGCAUACGACCUACGGGUGAAAGCAGGGGAUCUUCGGACCUUGCGCGAUUGAAUGAGCCGAUGUCGGAUUAGCUAAUUGGCGGGGUAAAGGCCCACCAAGGCGACGAUCCGUAGCUGGUCUGAGAGGAUGAUCAGCCACACUGGAACUGAGACACGGUCCAGACUCCUACGGGAGGCAGCAGUGGGGAAUAUUAGACAAUGGGCGCAAGCCUGAUCCAGCCAUACCGCGUGGGUGAAGAAGGCCUUCGGGUUGUAAAGCCCUUUUGUUGGGAAAGAAAAGCAGCAGGUUAAUACCCCGCUGUUCUGACGGUACCCAAAGAAUAAGCACCGGCUAACUUCGUG